GACGAACGCUGGCGGCGUGCUUAACACAUGCAAGUCGAACGGAAAGGCCCUUCGGGGUACUCGAGUGGCGAACGGGUGAGUAACACGUGGGUGAUCUGCCCUGCACUUUGGGAUAAGCCUGGGAAACUGGGUCUAAUACCGAAUAUGAUCAUCGGCUUCAUGGUCGGUGGUGGAAAGCAUUUGCGGUGUGGGAUGGGCCCGCGGCCUAUCAGCUUGUUGGUGGGGUAAUGGCCUACCAAGGCGACGACGGGUAGCCGGCCUGAGAGGGUGACCGGCCACACUGGGACUGAGAUACGGCCCAGACUCCUACGGGAGGCAGCAGUGGGGAAUAUUGCACAAUGGGCGCAAGCCUGAUGCAGCGACGCCGCGUGAGGGAUGACGGCCUUCGGGUUGUAAACCUCUUUCAGCACAGACGAAGCGCAAGUGACGGUAUGUGCAGAAGAAGGACGGGCCAACUACGUG
RNAcentral lists this ribosomal RNA (462 nucleotides) under uncultured bacterium. Its description in RNAcentral is "partial 16S ribosomal RNA". It matches the Rfam family "Bacterial small subunit ribosomal RNA", at positions 28 to 507 of the family's 1533-position model. The record is from RNAcentral.